UGGGGAAUCUUGCGCAAUGGGGGAAACCCUGACGCAGCAACGCCGCGUGGGUGAUGAAGGCCUUCGGGUCGUAAAGCCCUGUCAGGUGGGAAGAAACAUGCUGAUGUUAAUACCAUCAGCACUUGACGGUACCACCGGAGGAAGCACCGGCUAACUCCGUGCCAGCAGCCGCGGUAAUACGGAGGGUGCAAGCGUUGUUCGGAAUUAUUGGGCGUAAAGCGCGUGUAGGCGGUCAUGUAAGUCAGAUGUGAAAGCCUUCCGCUUAACGGGAGAAGUGCAUUUGAGACUGCAUGACUGGAGUAUGGGAGAGGAGAGUGGAAUUCCCGGUGUAGAGGUGAAAUUCGUAGAUAUCGGGAGGAACACCAGUGGCGAAGGCGGCUCUCUGGCCUGAUACUGACGCUGAGACGCGAAAGCGUGGGGAGCAAACAGG
RNAcentral lists this ribosomal RNA (430 nucleotides) under uncultured bacterium. RNAcentral describes it as "bacterial SSU rRNA". It matches the Rfam family "Bacterial small subunit ribosomal RNA", at positions 355 to 776 of the family's 1533-position model. The record is from RNAcentral.